AGCAUGUGUGUUAGUGGAAGCGUCUGGAAAGGCGCGCGAUACAGGGUGACAGCCCCGUACACAAAAGCGCAUGUGCUGUGAGCUCGAUGAGUAGGGCGGGACACGUGGUAUCCUGUCUGAAUAUGGGGGGACCAUCCUCCAAGGCUAAAUACUCCUGACUGACCGAUAGUGAACCAGUACCGUGAGGGAAAGGCGAAAAGAACCCCGGCGAGGGGAGUGAAAAAGAACCUGAAACCGUGUACGUACAAGCAGUGGGAGCACAGGUUUACCUGUGUGACUGCGUACCUUUUGUAUAAUGGGUCAGCGACUUAUAUUCUGUAGCAAGGUUAACCGAAUAGGGGAGCCGGAGGGAAACCGAGUCUUAAUUGGGCGUUAAGUUGCAGGGUAUAGACCCGAAACCCGGUGAUCUAGCCAUGGGCAGGUUGAAGGUUGGGUAACACUAACUGGAGGACCGAACCGACUAAUGUUGAAAAAUUAGCGGAUGACCUGUGGCUGGGGGUGAAAGGCCAAUCAAACCGGGAGAUAGCUGGUUCUCCCCGAAAGCUAUUUAGGUAGCGCCUCGUGAAUUCAUCUCCGGGGGUAGAGCACUGUUUCGGCUAGGGGGCCAUCCCGGCUUACCAACCCGAUGCAAACUGCGAAUACCGGAGAAUGUUAUCACGGGAGACACACGGCGGGUGCUAACGUCCGUCGUGAAGAGGGAAACAACCCAGACCGCCAGCUAAGGUCCCAAAGUCAUGGUUAAGUGGGAAACGAUGUGGGAAGGCCCAGACAGCCAGGAUGUUGGCUUAGAAGCAGCCAUCAUUUAAAGAAAGCGUAAUAGCUCACUGGUCGAGUCGGCCUGCGCGGAAGAUGUAACGGGGCUAAACCAUGCACCGAAGCUGCGGCAGCGACGCUUAUGCGU
This 901-nucleotide ribosomal RNA is filed under the name Salmonella enterica subsp. enterica serovar Typhimurium. RNAcentral's name for it is "partial 23S ribosomal RNA". It matches the Rfam family "Bacterial large subunit ribosomal RNA", at positions 319 to 1221 of the family's 2925-position model. The record is from RNAcentral. Lineage: Bacteria; Pseudomonadati; Pseudomonadota; Gammaproteobacteria; Enterobacterales; Enterobacteriaceae.